This 73-nucleotide transfer RNA is filed under the name Solirubrobacteraceae bacterium. Its description in RNAcentral is "tRNA-Thr". It matches the Rfam family "tRNA". Rfam says of the family: Transfer RNA (tRNA) molecules are approximately 80 nucleotides in length. Their secondary structure includes four short double-helical elements and three loops (D, anti-codon, and T loops). Further hydrogen bonds mediate the characteristic L-shaped molecular structure. tRNAs have two regions of fundamental functional importance: the anti-codon, which is responsible for specific mRNA codon recognition, and the 3' end, to which the tRNAs corresponding amino acid is attached (by aminoacyl-tRNA synthetases). tRNAs cope with the degeneracy of the genetic code in two manners: having more than one tRNA (with a specific anti-codon) for a particular amino acid; and 'wobble' base-pairing, i.e. permitting non-standard base-pairing at the 3rd anti-codon position. RNAcentral also lists the same sequence under 1 other name. The record is from RNAcentral. Lineage: Bacteria; Bacillati; Actinomycetota; Thermoleophilia; Solirubrobacterales; Solirubrobacteraceae.
GCCCUCUUAGCUCAGUUGGUAGAGCACUUCCAUGGUAAGGAAGGGGUCUGCGGUUCGAGUCCGCAAGAGGGCU